This 434-nucleotide ribosomal RNA is filed under the name uncultured bacterium. Its description in RNAcentral is "partial 16S ribosomal RNA". It matches the Rfam family "Bacterial small subunit ribosomal RNA", at positions 29 to 507 of the family's 1533-position model. The record is from RNAcentral.
AGCGAACGCUGGCGGCAGGCCUAACACAUGCAAGUCGAACGAACCUUUCGGGGUUAGUGGCGGACGGGUGUGUAACACGUGGGAACGUGCCUUUAGGUUCGGAAUAACUCAGGGAAACUUGUGCUAAUACCGAAUGUGCCCUUCGGGGGAAAGAUUAAUCGCCUUUAGAGCGGCCCGCGUCUGAUUAGCUAGUUGGUUGAGGUAAUGGCUCACCAAGGCGACGAUCAGUAGCUGGUCUGAGAGGAUGAUCAGCCACAUUGGGACUGAGACACGGCCCAAACUCCUACGGGAGGCAGCAGUGGGGAAUCUUGCGCAAUGGGCGAAAGCCUGACGCAGCCAUGCCGCGUGAAUGAUGAAGGUCUUAGGAUUGUAAAAUUCUUUCACCGGGGACGAUAAUGACGGUACCCGGAGAAGAAGCCCCGGCUAACUUCGUG